AGACUUAACUGCCGGCAUGAUCAGUGCUGGCCCUGCCAGCAGGCUCCUUCACCGUCUCCCUCCUCCUGGCUCCUGGAGAUCUGCCUGCCUGCUGCACACGUGUCCCACCCUGGUUUUCCAUUCUAGAGAUGUAGGUGUUUGGGAGAGACCUGGAACACUGAGGUGUGAACAACAAGGCUGCCCACGAAGACAGACCACAGGAGAGGACAGGUGCUGGAAGCUGUUUUAUUUCUAGGAGGGAGAGUGAGUCAAAUCAAGAGAAUGAGUCACCAAGUCAUAGCCAAGGUGAUAAACCUCAAGACUUGCAUCUAUCUGUUCCAUGGACAUAGUUAAGGAGGAGAACCUUACCGAGUGGUAAGAAAACCAGAGUGGGUACUAUCUGAACAUGUAAUGUUAUUUUGAGAAAAAAAAUAAAGCAACUUUCCUAAAAAAC
Long non-coding RNA from Suricata suricatta (meerkat), 433 nucleotides. RefSeq lists it as uncharacterized. The record is from RefSeq and is a predicted model, not a curated record. The transcript is spliced from 3 exons. NCBI's taxonomy places the organism in Eukaryota, Metazoa, Chordata, Mammalia, Carnivora, Herpestidae.